This 254-nucleotide ribosomal RNA is filed under the name uncultured bacterium. RNAcentral describes it as "partial 16S ribosomal RNA". It matches the Rfam family "Bacterial small subunit ribosomal RNA", at positions 524 to 776 of the family's 1533-position model. The record is from RNAcentral.
GACGAACCGUGCGAACGUUAUCCGGAAUCACUGGGCUUAAAGCGCGUGUAGGCGGAUGGGUGCGUCGGAACCUGAAAGCCCCCGGCUCAACCGGGGAAGUGGGGCCGAAACGACCCGUCUGGAGGGACGUAGGGGGAUCUGGAACUUCCGGUGGAGCGGUGAAAUGCGUUGAGAUCGGAAGGAACGCCCGUGGCGAAAGCGAGAUCCUGGACGUCUUCUGACGCUGAGACGCGAAAGCUAGGGGAGCAAACGGG